RNAcentral lists this long non-coding RNA (472 nucleotides) under Acyrthosiphon pisum (pea aphid). Its description in RNAcentral is "uncharacterized LOC103310474, transcript variant X1". Lineage: Eukaryota; Metazoa; Arthropoda; Insecta; Hemiptera; Aphididae. The record is from RNAcentral.
CAUACAUUUCAGACCAAAAUGAUGAAAAGAUGAAAAUUUCAUUAAAAUUAUUGUCUUUUAUCUCAAAAGGAUUGAUACCAUCAAUAUUAAUUAGCUAUGAAUGCUUUAAUGUAAUUUAUAAAUGUAUGGGGACAUCAGUAUAAUGCAAUUAGGGAGAAUGCAUACUAUUUUUUAAAAAAUAUUAAGACAUUAUUUUUCAAUUACCUCAAACCCUAUAUACAGUUUGUUUCAUUCAAAAAUUUAUCAUGAAUUUGGAUCUAACAAACAUUGAAGUUUGCCUUAGUGCCAUGUGGGAUGAAAGAAAUUAUCAUAAAAUUGACAAAUGCAAUCCUCCAUCUAAUAACGUGCCCUGAAAAAGUCUCCAUUGGAAUAUGACAGCGUCUGAACAAUUGAUGUGUAACUAUUUUUUUUUUUGUAUUUUACUUAUUUCUAAUAUACAGCCGGUAACAGGAAAACCUAGCAGAUAAGAUAA